UACGAAGGUGGCGAAUGUUGCUCGGAUUCACUGGGCGUAAAGCGUCGGUAGGUGGUGUGUCAAGUCAGAGGUGAAAGCCCCGCGCUUAACGUGGGAAUUGCCUUUGAAACUAGCGCACUUGAGAAUACCAGAGGAUGGCGGAAUAUCCGGUGUAGAGGUAAAAUUCAUAGAUAUCGGAUGGAACACCCACGGCGAAGGCAGCUAUCUGGGGUAUUUCUGACACUGAGCGACGACAGCGUGGGGAUCAAACAGG
RNAcentral lists this ribosomal RNA (253 nucleotides) under uncultured bacterium. RNAcentral describes it as "partial 16S ribosomal RNA". It matches the Rfam family "Bacterial small subunit ribosomal RNA", at positions 524 to 776 of the family's 1533-position model. The record is from RNAcentral.